GUGGGGAAUAUUGGACAAUGGGCGCAAGCCUGAUCCAGCCAUGCCGCGUGAGUGAUGAAGGCCCUAGGGUUGUAAAGCUCUUUCAGUGGGGACGAUAAUGACGGUACCCACAGAAGAAGCCCCGGCUAACUUCGUGCCAGCAGCCGCGGUAAUACGAAGGGGGCUAGCGUUGUUCGGAUUUACUGGGCGUAAAGCGCACGUAGGCGGAUCGUUAAGUCGGGGGUGAAAUCUUGGAGCUCAACUCCAGAACUGCCUUCGAUACUGGCGGUCUUGAGUCCGGAAGAGGUGAGGGGAACUCCUAGUGUAGAGGUUGAAUUCGUAGAUAUUAGGAAGAACACCAGUGGCGAAGGCGGCUCACUGGUCCGGUACUGACGCUGAGGUGCGAAAGCGUGGGGAGCAAACAGGAUUAGAAACCCCAGUAGUCC
RNAcentral lists this ribosomal RNA (425 nucleotides) under uncultured bacterium. RNAcentral's name for it is "partial 16S ribosomal RNA". It matches the Rfam family "Bacterial small subunit ribosomal RNA", at positions 354 to 796 of the family's 1533-position model. The record is from RNAcentral.